GUUUAGUGAUGGGGGAAAGGCUUGGAGGGAAGGAAAGGUGGGAAGAGAGAGAGAGAAUAGGAGAAAAGGAAAGAGCAAAGAGACAGACAGACACAACCCAGCAAAGAGAGGAGAUAUGAAAGGGUUUAGAGGUAUGGGGAAAGAAAGGUUGAAAGAAUAGGAAGAGAGGAAGAAUAGAAGGAAAAAGAAAGAGUAAAGAGACAGGCAGACGCAACCCAACAAAGAGAGGAGAGAUGAAAGGGUUUAGAAGUAAGGGAAGGCAAGGUUGAAAAAAUAGGAAGAGAGGAUGAAAAGAAGGAAAGAAAGAUUAAAAAGACAAACAGACAGCCCGACAAGGAAGGAAAAGACGAAAGGGUUUAGUGGUACGGGAAGGCAAGGUUGAAAGAAUAGGAAGAGAGAUAGAAUAGGAGGAAAAGGGUUGAAGGAAUAGGAAGAGAGGAAGAAAAGAAGAAAAGAAAGAUUAAAAAAUACAGACAGACAGCCCGACAAGGAGGGAAAAGACGAAAGGGUUUAGUGGUACAGGAAGGCAAGGUUGAAAAAAUAGGAAGAGAGAUAGAAUAGGAGGAAAAGGGUUGAAGGAAUAGGAAGAGAGGAAGAAAAGAAGAAAAGAAAGAUUAAAAAGACAGACAGACAGCCCAACAAGGAGGGAAAAGACGAGAGUUUACUGGUGGGAGAAUGCAAAGACUACUAAGAUUUUUGGCCCACAAGAAUUUAGACCAAUGGACAUUCACACAGUGCUUGGGUUAGACAAGUGGAAGGACAUGAGGCGACAUAUUAAGCAUGAAAUUAUCUUAGGAAGUCUUAGAACCAAAUUACAGAACCAGUUGCAAUAGUUAAAGAAUUAGUUAUUAGCACCAAUGAUGAAUGCUGGAGGGAACUGACUUGAGUUUCUUUAAUUUUGGAUUUCUUGUUUAUCUAUUUGAAUUUCUUUGAUCUAUUUGACGGACUUUGUUUUAUCUAUUUGACUGACUUUGUUUUAUCUAUUUGACUGAGUUUGUUUUAUCUAUUUGACUGACUUUGUUUUAUCUAUUUGACUGACUUUGUUUUAUCUAUUUGACUGACUUUGUUUUAUCUAUUUGACUGACUUUGUUUUAUCUAUUUGACGGACUUUGUUUUAUCUAUUUGACUGACUUUGUUUUAUCUAUUUGACGGACUUUGUUUUAUCUAUUUGACUGACUUUGUUUUAUCUAUUUGACUGACUUUGUUUUAUCUAUUUGACUGACUUUCUUUUAUCUAUUUGACGGACUUUCUUUUAUCUAUUUGACUGACUUUGUUUUAUCUAUUUGACUGAGUUUGUUUUAUCUAUUUGACUGACUUUGUUUUAUCUAUUUGACUGACUUUGUUUUAUCUAUUUGACUGACUUUGUUUUAUCUAUUUGACUGACUUUGUUUUAUCUAUUUGACUGAGUUUGUUUUAUCUAUUUGACUCUUUGUUUUAUCUAUUUGACUGACUUUGUUUUAUCUAUUUGACUGACUUUGUUUUAUCUAUUUGACUGACUUUGUUUUAUCUAUUUGACGGACUUUAUUUUAUCUAUUUGACUCAACCUUCUCUUUAUCUAUUUGACUUGUGUUUAUAUUUUAUCUAUUUGACUUGUGUUUGUCUAUUACUUGAAUCUAUUUGACUUGUGUUUGUCUAUUACUUGAAUCUAUUUGACUUGGGUUUGUCUAUUACUUGAAUCUAUUUGACUUGAUCGAUGCAGUAAAUUUAGGGCAUUUUAUAUAUCUCUUUAUCAUUUAACUCAAACUUUUGUCUCCAUUAUCCUAAGCAAACAUAAAUGGGAUAAAAAAUGAUGAAACAAAUAUACCAAUACAAUAAUGAAAACCACGGCAAUGUGUAAAUAAUAUCAAAUGAAAUAUAUUUUCAACCCGGUAGCAGCGACGGGCCAAAUUUGUGGCUUUACCGUGUAGCAGCGACAGGCCAAAUAUGUGGCUUUACCGUGUAGCAGCGACGGGCCAAAUUUGUGGCUUUACCAUGUAGUAGCGAUGGGCCAAAUUUGUGGCUUUACCGUGUAGCAGCGACGGGCCAAAUUUGUGGCUUUACCAUGUAGUAGCGAUGGGCCAAAUUUGUGGCUUUACCGUGUAGCAGCGACGGGCCAAAUUUGUGGCUUUACCGUGAAGCAGCAAACAGGCCAACUUUGUGCCAUGGUAUAACCCCAAAAAAAUAGAUGAUACAUAAACUGAUCACAAAUGCGUUGAUAUAUAUUAUGAAAUGGUUUGUGUGAGGGGUGAUUUUUUUCUCAUUUUCUCGCUUAGAGGGACCAUUAAGAAACAUGAUCCCCGCUGCUACCGGGUUAAAGUCAUGGUUCUCCUGCCCUUCCAUUGUUCGUGCUAAGAAAAAACAGGAAAAUCAAAUCAGCUCCCAACAAGUUAAUAAUGAGAGAGAGAGAGAGAGAGAGAGAGAGAGAGAGAGAGAGAGAAUGAUCAUGUCGACAGGUUAAUGAAUGAGUAAGUUCCAUCACCUCACCUGUUGCCAUUACUCGUGCUGAUGAUGUUACCUGUGUGUGUGUGUGUGUGUGUGUGUGUGUGUGUGUGUGUGUGUGUGUGUGUGUGUGUGUGUGUGUGUGUGUGUGUGUGUGAGAAGAAAAGAGAGUGAAGAGAGAAGAGAAAGAGAGGAAAAGAGAGAAAGGAGAAAAAAUAAACAAAAGAAAAGAAGAAGAAAAAGAAAAUGAGGCAAAGAAAGGAAUAACAGAGAGAGAGAGAGAGAGAGAGAGAGAGAGAGAGUGUGUGUGUGUGUGUGUGUGUGUGUGUGUGUGUGUGUGUGUGUGUGUGUACCGAGACCCCCAAACCACACAUACACACAUAACCCAUCCAUUCAUUUGUCAGUAUCCAUAAUCAGUGUCAACAUCCUCAUUCAUGUCCACUGUACACACACACACACACACACACACACACACACACACACACACACACACACUAACGCAAACACACAUCCACACACACACACACACACAUACAUCCGCCCUGUGUUGCCGUAAGACUAGCAACAUAGCGUAACACCAACCCAACGCAACACAGACUAACCCCAAGGCGACCCAUGCAGUGUUAGUGUUGGUGUAGGGCGGUGAGGGAGGGAAGGAGGCAGGGUGGGGGCGGAGGGCAGGCAUGGGGGUGGGUGUGGAGGCGUGGAGGGUAGGCCAAGCGAAGCACAACAAGCCCAAGCAGCCCAAGGUGGGGUAUAAAUGAAAUAAAACAACUUGGUUCCAUUCACGAUUAGCUGCAUGUAUUUAAAAAAACGGAUAAUUCUAUACAGGUAUAAAAAAAAUGUAUUGACUUAGAAAAAAACAAAACUUGGGGGUGACAUUCAGUAAAAAAAAAAAAUUACUAUAUAUAUAUUUAGUAUGUAUAUAUAUAUGUAUAAAUCUAUGGAUGUAUAAAUAUAUAAAAAACGAUAGUAGGACAAAGAUAAACAUAUGCGUGUGUAGUGCUUGCGGCUGGCCACGGACUAGCCCCUUACCUCUAGGACUAAAUAGCAAGGACUCACUUUUCUACAGAGGAAAAUUGAGACUGCCAAGUAUGCGUCAAGGGUUGCUUAGGCUUGUAUAGGACCUCCUCCCUCCCUCCCUUCCUCACCCCCUCACCCUUUCUCUCUCUCUCUCUCUCUCUCUCUGGUGUGUGUGUGUGUGUGCGUGUGUGUGUGUGUGUGUAAUAGAACGGCUAGCGAAAGGAAGAUAAGGAACUGGAGGAAAAGAAAAGGAUAAGAAGGAGAUGAAGGAGGAGGAAGAGGAAUAUAGAUGCAGUGUUGGUAGAAUUAUUGGUAUAGCGAGGCGAAGAGUAAUUUUAGGGAAAGGUUAUGGUAAAAAUAGCUUGAAAACACAGGCAUUGAAUACAGAGGUGAGUGAGUGAGUGCUGAUGUGAGUGAGUAAGGAAAUGAAGGAGGAGGAAGAGGAGGAGGAGGAGGACAAGGAAUACAAAUGAGGUGUUGGUAGAAUUAUUGGUAUAGAGAGGCGAAGAGUAUUUUUAGGGAAAGGUUAUGGUAAAAAUAGCUUGAAAACACAGGCAUUGAAUACAGAGGUGAGUGAGUGAGUGAGUGAGUGCUGGAGUGAGUGAGUGAGUGAGUGCUGGAGUGAGUGAGUGAGUGAGUGAGUGAGUGAGUGAGUGAGGAACCAUAACACAAACAAGCACACACAUAAAAAAAAGAAAUGGGAAUAGAAGAUAAAAAGAAAUACAGGAAGGAAGGAAAGAGGAAAGAACUUCAGAGAGAGAGAGAGAGAGAGAGAGAGAGAGAGAGAGAGAGAGAGAGAGAGAGAGAGAGAGAGAGGCAAAAGGAAGAAAGAAAAAAAGAAUGAAUAGGAGAGAGAAACAGGUGGAGGUAUGGAGGUAAGGGGUGGGUUGUGGCUAUCAUGCAACAUACAACACACACACAUGCAGCCGGAACACAACAACAGCGGCGGCAGUCCGGGCGGAAGUGACGCAAUACACAGCAAUGGAGGUGGAGGUGGUGGUGGUGGUGGUGACACAGAGCAAGGUGGUGGUGAGGCGCUGGCUGCUGGUGAUGAGGGAGGUGAUGACAUGACCUUCACCUCACCUCACCUCACCUCCCAUGACCUUUGACCUUGUGGAGUUUAUACAAGGACAACAACACCUCUCUCUCUCUCUCUCUCUCUCUCUCUCCGUCUUUUCUCUCCUCAAUCUCUCUCAUUCUCUCUUUCCUUCCAUGACCUUACACGGUAUACUCAAAUAAACACAGCAGUCCCGUUUUUUACGCAAGAUCUCCUCCUCUCUCACCUUCCUUCCCUGCCCCAUCUACACCUUCUCCCUUACUCCCUAUACCUGUUCUGUGCUGGUGUGAAAGAUGUGGUUCUCGUGCCUCUGUAUAUAUUGAUGGUGUAUUUUUUUUAUAGUAAGGAAGUAGCUCAAAGGGGAUAAACAAGGAAUGGAUAGAUAGACAGUGUGUGUGUGUGUAUGUGUGUGAGAUUCUAGUAUUGUUGACGCUGGUUACUAUAUCAAGGAGUCUGGGCAACACAACACUCACACCUACAUUUCACUUCAAAUAAAAUCAACUUUGUGUGAAUAAAUAUCGUACAGUGUAAAACUUUCCAAGCUGAAUGCAAGACGGUUCCAUUCACAGCGCAAAACGAGAGAAUCUUUGCAUUUGAACUGAGUGGUUACGUACAAGCCGUUUUGAGAUCAAGUCAUGCGCUCGACUAUAUAUACAUUAAAUGAGAUAAGUAACGUGUUAAGUACGUAUAAAAAAGGUGAAAUUAAAUAACAACAAUGAUAAUACUCUCAAGUUUGCGUGUUUAGCCAAGUUAUCACAGACCACGAAUUCAGGAUGAGAAUGAAAAUGACUAAACUCGACACAAAUUCACCGUAACCGCCACGCCCUUACGAAUGAUACGACAAAAAAAUCGCUACUAUAAAUUCAUCAUCGCCACCUCUCCGUUAGAAAUGAUAUGACAAAAAAAAAAAAAAAGAUCUCUACAAAUCCAUCAUCUGCGCAUCUCUCUUAUGAAUGACAUGACGGAAAAAAAAACACUAUAAAUUAAUCAUCGCAAACUCUCCCUUACGAAUGACGACACAAAAAAAUCGCUUCUAUAAAUUCAUCAUCUUCGCCUCUCCCUUACGAAUACAAUACGAAAGCAAUUUAAAACAAAGCACCUCAAGUAGUAAAUGCAAUCUUUUCCGCGUCCCCUCCAAGCACCUCCGGAUAAUGGCAGGUACGUACGCAAAUGCAAAAAUUCGUAAGCGUAAAAUAAUGCCUUCGUAAUGUCUUUUGUCGUUAACUUCAUUUGUCGCUUCAGAUGCACGGACGCAGAGAAAACAACCUCUCACUCUGAACUGGUGGCUCGCUGGUCCCUCUCUGGGCUAUGAAUCCGCUGGUCCAGGUUCAAAUCCCGGCCUGGCAUGUGGAAAGCGCUAUCGGAUCACAGGUUUAGCAAGACGCCUCUCCACCCGAAACUGACCUCUCGUUUGGUCAUUCUUCACUUUUCUCUUUCGGUCUAGAUUUGAAUCCCGGCCUGGCAUGUGGAUAGUGCUACCAGAUCACAGGUUUAGCAAGACGCCUCUCCACCUGAAAUUGACCUCUCGUUUGCUCAUUCUUCACUUUUCUCUUUCGGUCCAGGUUUGAAUCCCGGCCUGGCAUGUGGAUAGCCCUACCGGAUCACAGGUUUAGCAAGACGCCUCUCCACCCGAAAUUGACCUCUUGUUUGACCACUCUUCACUUUUCUCUUUCGGUAUAGGUUUGAAUCCCGGCCCGGCAGAUGGAAAGCACUACCGGAUCACAGGUUUAGCAAGACGCCUCUCCACCCGAAAUUGACCUCUUGUUUGACCACUCUUCACUUUUCUCUUUCGGUAUAGGUUUGAAUCCCGGCCCGGCAGAUGGAAAGCGCUACCAAAUCACAGGUUUAGCAAGACGCCUCUCCACCCAAAAUUGACCUCUUGUUUGGCCAUUUUCCACUUUUCUCUUUCGGUCUAGGUUUGAAUCCCGGCCUGGCAUGUGGAUAGUGCUACCGGAUCACAGGUUUAGCAAGACGCCUCUCCACCCAAAAUUGACCUCUUGUUUGGUCAUUCUUCACUUUUCUCUUUCGGUCUAGAUUUGAAUCCCGGCCUGGCAUGUGGAUAGUGCUACCAGAUCACAGGUUUAGCAAGACGCCUCUCCACCCGAAAUUGACCUCUUGUUUGGCCAUUCUUCAUUUUUCUCUUUCGGUCCAGGUUUGAAUCCCGGCC
Eriocheir sinensis (Chinese mitten crab) is the source of this 6665-nucleotide long non-coding RNA. RefSeq lists it as uncharacterized. The transcript has 3 exons. Lineage: Eukaryota; Metazoa; Arthropoda; Malacostraca; Decapoda; Varunidae. The record is from RefSeq and is a predicted model, not a curated record.